RNAcentral lists this ribosomal RNA (513 nucleotides) under uncultured bacterium. Its description in RNAcentral is "bacterial SSU rRNA". It matches the Rfam family "Bacterial small subunit ribosomal RNA", at positions 15 to 518 of the family's 1533-position model. The record is from RNAcentral.
GAUCAUGGCUCAGGACGAACGCUGGCGGCGUGCUUAACACAUGCAAGUCGAACGGAAGUUACGAGGAAGCUUGCGAAUUGUAACUUUAGUGGCGGACGGGUGAGUAACGCGUGGAUAACCUGCCUUAAUGACCGGGAUAACACCGGGAAACUGGUGCUAAUACGGGAUACGCUCAAGUGAACACAUGUUUGUUUGAGGAAAAGGAGCAAUCCGCAUUAAGAUGGGUCCGCGUCCCAUUAGCUAGUUGGAGGUGUAAGAGACCCCAAGGCGACGAUGGGUAGCCGGCCUGAGAGGGUGAUCGGCCACAUUGGGACUGAGAUACGGCCCAGACUCCUACGGGAGGCAGCAGUAGGGAAUAUUGCGCAAUGGGGGGAACCCUGACGCAAGCAACGCCACGUGUGGGAAGAAGCAUUUCGGUGUGUAAACCACUGUCGGAAAGGAAUAACGGAAGACUUCGGUCUUUAUGAAUGUACUUUUAGAGGAAGCACCGGCAAACUUCGUGCCAGCCGCCGC